RNAcentral lists this ribosomal RNA (498 nucleotides) under uncultured bacterium. RNAcentral describes it as "bacterial SSU rRNA". It matches the Rfam family "Bacterial small subunit ribosomal RNA", at positions 30 to 520 of the family's 1533-position model. The record is from RNAcentral.
AUUGAACGCUGGCGGCAGGCUUAACACAUGCAAGUCGAGCGGAGCGAGGGUGCUUGCACCUUAGCUUAGCGGCGGACGGGUGAGUAAUGCUUAGGAAUCUGCCUAUUAGUGGGGGACAACAUUCCGAAAGGAAUGCUAAUACCGCAUACGCCCUACGGGGGAAAGCAGGGGAUCUUCGGACCUUGCGCUAAUAGAUGAGCCUAAGUCGGACUAGCUAGUUGGUGGGUAAAGGCCUACCAAGGCGACGAUCUGUAGCGGGUCUGAGAGGAUGAUCCGCCACACUGGGACUGAGACACGGCCCAGACUCCUACGGGAGGCAGCAGUGGGGAAUAUUGGACAAAUGGGCGCAAGCCUGAUCCAGCCAUGCCGCGUGUGUGAAGAAGGCCUUUGGUUGUAAAGCACUUUAAGCGAGGAGGAGGCUACUUAGAUUAAUACUCUAGGAUAGUGGACGUUACUCGCAGAAUAAGCACCGGCUAACUACUGUGCCAGCAGCCGCGG